Molecule: non-coding RNA, 3659 nt
Organism: Macaca mulatta (Rhesus monkey)
Lineage: Eukaryota; Metazoa; Chordata; Mammalia; Primates; Cercopithecidae
Source: RefSeq, a predicted model, not a curated record
UUGUUGUUCUGAAGAGCAAAGAGAAAGAUAGAAAAACGGCUGGCAUUCAGCCUAAAGAGAAAUCAUUGAAACAAAUUAAUCCUAUGCUGUUUAAAUUGACAUGGUAAUCCAUCAUCAGAGAAGGCAAACUCCGAAAGCAAUCUAGAAUCUGCCCUGCUCUUUCACUGGCCCUGGAGGCACAAAGACAGAUAGUAAAGGAAGGAGGGGGGAAAUCAUAAAAGUUAGGAAUGCCUGAGAAAAUAAUCAAAUUGGUGGUAUCAGCUCUCACUGUCCUGCCUCUGCAAACCUCCUUUGGAAAGGAGAGGUUAACUCUCAACAGUUGCUUUCCCAACUUUCCCCCUAAGUGGUAGGUCUCUGGAGCUGAGCUCUAAAAGUCUGCCUCCUUCUCUAGGCUGCCAGGCUGCUCACCUCAUUCUAACCAUUGCCUGCCGCGUUUAAAAAGUUGACCAGCCAGGAGCUUGGCAGGACCCACAGAAACAGUUCAGUUUGCGCAGAAACUUUCCCAACAUGGGGAGGAGACAUUUUACAGAACAUACCUUUCUCAUUACUGCCUGGACAUACCAACUUGAACACAAAAGUGAAUAUUAUGUUUUUCAAUUUAACAAUGCAUUCGACUUUAAGGCGAGACAAUUUGAAAAUAUUUUUAACUUCAAAAAUUCACUCUGUUAACAAUAGACAGUAUGUGAAGACAAAAACCCAAAUACCUUUGUACCAAAAGCAAAAGGCAGAAGGAUAUGAAUGUAAACCUUACCCAACAGCUGCCCUAUUUUAAUUUAUCUAGGAUAGUGUUUCUUCUAGUUUAUUUAAAAAAACUUAGUAUGUUACUGAAACUUCAGAAUAAACAUCGCACCUCUUUUCUAUAAUUAGAAUUUUUAUUCACAGAUUUUAAAAAGGGAGUGAAUAAUUCUUGUAUACUGACUAAUGCUUUUUAAAAUACAUACUCAUAAAAGACAAAUUAAAGGUAUUUCCAGGGUAAAUGCGAAAGGAGGGUUAAAGACUCAUAUUAAAUAUUCAUUCAUUCACAGCCAUGCCAGUUGCAAUUUUAAGAGUUGUUAGGAAAGAAGAACAGGUUUAGUUGUUUGUUUUUAAUAGAACCUGGGGGGUUGAAGUAGUAGCUCUUCAAUAACUGAACAUUCAAAUUGCACUUCCUGAAAAAGAUUUGAUACUUCUGAAUUUGUUUUCAAUUUAUAUACAAUGUAGACUUUAGCAAAAUAUUAUCUAAUUUUAAAAGCCAUUAAAUUAACCAAAAUCACAUGUAAGAAAAAUAAAUUAGUAAAUAAACAUCAGUCUUUAUCACUCAGAGGAGGCUAAGAAGAAAAGUACCUUUAAAAUCCCCACUACUUAAAUAUCACAAUACUACCAUCUUUUUAAUUACUUGGUAAUGUGGCAACAAAGUAUAUGCAAAGAAAUUGCAACAUAUCUUUAGAAGUAAAUAAGUUAUUAACAUAUAUUCUACAAAGAAAUGGGCUUCCCCAAUUUUGCUAACUUCUCCCUGAUGCGAUGUGACGUGGUCCUGCCAAGAAAUAACCAAUGUGACAUUUUCACUAAAUUCAAUAUUCCCUUCCUUUAAGGUUCUCAGUUUUGCUUUAAACUAUUUGAAGCGACUUCCUCUCAAUCAAUUUACCUCAGGCAAGUACAUAGAAAUCUCCUAGAUAAGGUUGAUUAAUUUAUUAUGAAUUAUAAUAGACGGAUAGGAAAAAUAUCUUUAUCUACCUUGUAUUCAAACUAAAAAGAAAAGUAUAAAUUUUAUUCAAACAAUACACUUUGUAAACUCUCAAGCUAAUACUUCCUAUGGUCAAGAAGCUGAAUGUGAUGUUAAACUGCCUUCUCUUAAUUUUACACAGAAGUUCUUUAUUUUUAACAUUCACCUUCAACUUUUCCAGAAAUCAGCCUUUUAAGAGGAGAAAUGAGGUUGUAACUAGCUUAUGCAUGUUUCCCUAUUAUGACACUAUGUCUGUCUCUGUCCACCUACUUCUUUAUAUUGAAACUGUCCCCCCCCCAAAAAAACCUUAUAAAAAACAAUAGAAUGGAAAUCACUCCUUAAACUAUUUUUCUCCAACUACAAUUCACCUUGAGUUUGUGUUUUAAGAAAAUUUAAUUAAAUCCCUUUUGUUGUUCUGCUUGUAUUUUCUUUAAGUACUACUGAUGCAGCUAAUUAACCAUAUUAAUUUAUCUGGGUAUUUGCCUUACUAACACCUUCACAUUUAAAUGACUGGCACUUGAUACCAUUUGAUUAAUGCUUUUUCUUGACAUACCAAAAAUUAACUGCCAUUUAGAAGAUUUCAUUACCAGGCUCUUGAGAAAGAGAAAAAUGUAGAACCAGACAAUAAUUCCUCACUCUGUCCACUACUAAGUAUGAACUGAUGUCCACAUGGCUUUAGAUGCCUUUGGAACUUUCUCAGCAGGAGUUGCCUUACAAUAUAAUAUUGGUAUUAAAGGCAUGUAUAGCCACAUCACACUUGAUUAAAUGGGCAGAGAGCCCCCUUAUGCCAUCAUCUCUAGCUAUAGCCUAUUCUCCUUUAAUUCUUCAAUCCAUUGAAAAGUAAAAUAGACCGAGUAGCAUAUCCCUGAAUUUUUAACUAUUUAGGCAAAAGAUGCUCACCUUUUAUUUAAAUGCCCUGCCAAAGCUACCAAACUGCAAAAUUGAUGAUUUUACUUUGAAGUGUCUUUCUGUGAUUUUGCAAGCCACAAAAGCUCUACCAUAGCUAAGUUGCUUCAGCUUGUAUUUCAACAAUGGUGAUUCUAAGGAGCUCAUUCAAAACUCCUUUUUGCACUGCCUUCUGCCUUUUUGCCAGUACACAUGAGUGACAGCCUCUAUCUAGUGCUUGAGUAUAUGAACCUUUAAUCCAUCAAGGAACUUCUAACACCAUAAGAAUAUACACACCCACGUGCAUACACCUUCAUGCAUGUAACUAUCAUACAACUACCCAUUAGAAUGCCACCAGGUUUGAAACCAGCAGAAUAUAUUUUUCUAAUCUCAUCCAGAUUCUAUGGCUGUAAUUUGGCUACUGACAAGAUUCUAAAAUUAGCUUUUAUUUAAAUGAAAUAAACCAUGUAUUUUUUUUUUUUUUUUAGUUUUUUUUAGUUUUUAAAACUCCCUGCACAGCAAUCUACUGUUGUAUACAUGGUUAGAAAUAUUUUUUAAAUGGACUAGGCAGUCAGUUAAAUACACGAAAAUAUUUCACUAUAUUAUAUUUUCUUAUUCCCUAAAGUCCAUCUCCAUGGAGUGUGCUGCGGGUGAUGGAUGAGACUGUUGUCUCUCUGAAUGGAAACCUGCUUUCAUAGGAAGGGUGGAGGUGGGAGAGGACCAGUGAAGGGCAGAGCUCUAAAAUUCUGGCAACUACAGUGAAUAUACCCUUUCCUCCUUUCUUCCUUCUUCCUUCACUCCCUCCCUUCCUCGCUUCCUUUUUGCGUGUCUCCUUUUGGUAGAUUAGUGUAGUUAACCUUCGUUCCGGCCAAGACCAAGAAGGGUUAAUGGAGACCCGGCUCCUGACACCCUCCAGGUCAGCUUGGCUUGCGAACUUCCAACGCAGGAAUUAGAGGAUUACCGAGGAAGGAAUGCGAGGUACCCGAUACCCUCACACCUGAACACGGUCGCUUCAAUCCACUGGGAUUCAUUUUAAGAAAUAAAUAAAUUCUCUUCUGGAAAAUGGUUAAUU